This is a long non-coding RNA of Pollicipes pollicipes, 358 nucleotides long. RefSeq lists it as uncharacterized. The record is from RefSeq and is a predicted model, not a curated record. The transcript has 3 exons. NCBI's taxonomy places the organism in Eukaryota, Metazoa, Arthropoda, Thecostraca, Pollicipedomorpha, Pollicipedidae.
CGGGGUGAGGACCCCUGUCGGUGUGAUGUCGGCCAGGGGAACAUCUGUAGCGACCGAAUACAGGGCGGGCCCCCCACUGUGACGGGUGAAGCUGAGACGCGUCUCUGUGACCUGUCCAGGUCACCGUGCAGCCACCUUUCCGUUGCGGGUCAGAACUUCGUGCCCUCCGUCAAGCUGAGGUGUAAGGUCGUACAACCAGAAAGCCAUAGGACUUUCGUCGUCACAGCCACCUAUCGGUCACAGAAGGAAAUACAAUGUCGGCUGCCUGCCGAAAUAUUCCGACGCCUGAGGCACACAGAUGACGUCACGCGGUGGCAAGUUCGGGUAUCAUACGACGGAGACAGGUGGAGUCUUCCCG